Molecule: long non-coding RNA, 398 nt
Organism: Sorex araneus (European shrew)
Lineage: Eukaryota; Metazoa; Chordata; Mammalia; Eulipotyphla; Soricidae
Exons: 3
Source: RefSeq, a predicted model, not a curated record
CGGUUGGAGGCCAAGUUCAGCAGGAGCAGCCGGCCCAGGCCCCGGAAGGCGCCCUCGGCCACACGCUCCACCUGGCAGUUCCGCAGGUCCAGAUGCGUCAGUGCUUAGGAUUAUUUCUGGCUCUGCACCCAACGGUCACUCUGGGAGGUGCUCAGGGACCCUAUGGGAUGCUGGAGCUCAAAGUCGGGUCCACCGCGUGCAAGGCAAACGCCCUCCCCGCUUAUGGAUCUGCCCCCUGGAAGGAAUCACUCCUGGUGGUGCUCAGAGAACCAUAUGGGAUAACGGGGGGUCGAACCCGGAUCAGCCACAUGCAAGGUCGGCGCCUUCCUCAUGCUCAUCCUGCCCUGACACCUCCUCCAGGAAGCCGCCUUCCCCACCGACCUGGGCAUCCCUGACUC